Molecule: ribosomal RNA, 167 nt
Filed under: Artemisia arctica
Lineage: Eukaryota; Viridiplantae; Streptophyta; Magnoliopsida; Asterales; Asteraceae
Also listed under: 5 other names
Description: 5.8S ribosomal RNA
Rfam family: 5.8S ribosomal RNA
About the family: 5.8S ribosomal RNA (5.8S rRNA) is a component of the large subunit of the eukaryotic ribosome.
Source: RNAcentral
UCACAAACGACUCUCGGCAACGGAUAUCUCGGCUCAUGCAUCGAUGAAGAACGUAGCAAAAUGCGAUACUUGGUGUGAAUUGCAGAAUCCCGUGAACCAUCGAGUUUUUGAACGCAAGUUGCGCCCGAAGCCUUUUGGCCGAGGGCACGUCUGCCUGGGCGUCACGC